RNAcentral lists this ribosomal RNA (492 nucleotides) under uncultured bacterium. RNAcentral's name for it is "partial 16S ribosomal RNA". It matches the Rfam family "Bacterial small subunit ribosomal RNA", at positions 29 to 507 of the family's 1533-position model. The record is from RNAcentral.
AGUGAACGCUGGCGGUAGGCCUAACACAUGCAAGUCGAACGGCAGCACAGUAAGAGCUUGCUCUUACGGGUGGCGAGUGGCGGACGGGUGAGGAAUACAUCGGAAUCUACUUUUUCGUGGGGGAUAACGUAGGGAAACUUACGCUAAUACCGCAUACGACCUACGGGUGAAAGCAGGGGAUCUUCGGACCUUGCGCGAUUGGAUGAGCCGAUGUCGGAUUAGCUAGUUGGCGGGGUAAAGGCCCACCAAGGCGACGAUCCGUAGCUGGUCUGAGAGGAUGAUCAGCCACACUGGAACUGAGACACGGUCCAGACUCCUACGGCAGGCAGCAGUGGGGAAUAUUGGACAAUGGGCGCAAGCCUGAUCCAGCCAUACCGCGUGGGUGAAGAAGGCCUUCGGGUUGUAAAGCCCUUUUGUUGGGAAAGAAAAGCAGCAGGUUAAUACCCCGCUGUUCUGACGGUACCCAAAGAAUAAGCACCGGCUAACUUCGUG